Molecule: ribosomal RNA, 429 nt
Filed under: Chloroflexota bacterium
Lineage: Bacteria; Bacillati; Chloroflexota
Description: Chloroflexi bacterium partial 16S ribosomal RNA
Rfam family: Bacterial small subunit ribosomal RNA
Source: RNAcentral
UGGGGAAUAUUGCACAAUGGGCGCAAGCCUGAUGCAGCCAUGCCGCGUGUAUGAAGAAGGCCUUCGGGUUGUAAAGUACUUUCAGCGGGGAGGAAGGGAGUAAAGUUAAUACCUUUGCUCAUUGACGUUACCCGCAGAAGAAGCACCGGCUAACUCCGUGCCAGCAGCCGCGGUAAUACGGAGGGUGCAAGCGUUAAUCGGAAUUACUGGGCGUAAAGCGCACGCAGGCGGUUUAUUAAGUCAGAUGUGAAAUCCCCGGGCUCAACCUGGGAACUGCAUCUGAUACUGGCAAGCUUGAGUCUCGUAGAGGGGGGUAGAAUUCCAGGUGUAGCGGUGAAAUGCGUAGAGAUCUGGAGGAAUACCGGUGGCGAAGGCGGCCCCCUGGACAAAGACUGACGCUCAGGUGCGAAAGCGUGGGGAGCAAACAGG